GUUUCCGUAGUGUAGCGGUUAUCACGUGCACCUCACACCCGCAAGGUCCCCGGUUCGCUCCCGGGCGGGAACA
Molecule: transfer RNA, 73 nt
Filed under: Cryptotermes secundus
Lineage: Eukaryota; Metazoa; Arthropoda; Insecta; Blattodea; Kalotermitidae
Description: tRNA-Val (CAC) (tRNA-Val-CAC-3-1)
Source: RNAcentral